Molecule: ribosomal RNA, 441 nt
Filed under: uncultured bacterium
Lineage: Bacteria
Description: partial 16S ribosomal RNA
Rfam family: Bacterial small subunit ribosomal RNA
Source: RNAcentral
CCUACGGGAGGCAGCAGUGGGGAAUAUUGCACAAUGGGGGAAACCCUGAUGCAGCAACGCCGCGUGAGUGAAGAAGGUGUUCGGAUUGUAAAGCUCUGUUAGCAGGGAAGAGGAAGGACGGUAGCGGCAGAGAAAGCCACGGCUAACUAAGUGCCAGCAGCCGAGGUACUACGUAGGUGGCGAGCGUUGUUCGGAAUAACGUGGCGUAAAGGGUGAGUAGGCGGUUAAACAAGUUAUAUGUUAAAUAUAUAGGCUUAACCUGUAGAAAGCAUUUAAAACUGUUUAACUAGAGUGCAGGAGAGGUAAGUGGAAUUCCUAGUGUAGCGGUGAAAUGCUUAGAUAUCACGAAGAACCCCGAUUGCGAAGGCAGCCUGCCGCAGCGUUACUGACGCUGAAGCUCGAAAGCGCGGGUAUCGAACAGGAUUAGAUACCCGGGUAGUC